AGGGUUCGAUUAUGGCUCAGGAUGAACGCUGGCGGCGUGCUUAACACAUGCAAGUCGAACGAACCUUCGGGUUAGUGGCGGACGGGUGAGUAACGCGUGAGAAUCUGCCCUCAGGAGGGGGAUAACGGCUGGAAACGGCCGCUAAUACCCCAUAUGCCGCGAGGUGAAAUGAAUUUCGCCUGAGGAUGAGCUCGCGUCUGAUUAGCUAGUUGGUGGGGUAAAGGCCUACCAAGGCAUCGAUCAGUAGCUGGUCUGAGAGGAUGAUCAGCCACACUGGGACUGAGACACGGCCCAGACUCCUACGGGAGGCAGCAGUGGGGAAUUUUCCGCAAUGGGCGAAAGCCUGACGGAGCAACGCCGCGUGAGGGAUGAAGGCCUCUGGGCUGUAAACCUCUUUUAUCAAGGAAGAAGAUCUGACGGUACUUGAUGAAUAAGCCACGGCUAAUUCCGUGCCAGCAGCCGCGGUAAUACGGGAGUGGCAAGCGUUAUCCGGAAUUAUUGGGCGUAAAGCGUCCGCAGGCGGCCCUUCAAGUCUGCUGUUAAAAAGUGGAGCUUAACUCCAUCAUGGCAGUGGAAACUGUUGGGCUUGAGUGUGGUAGGGGCAGAGGGAAUUCCCGGUGUAGCGGUGAAAUGCGUAGAUAUCGGGAAGAACACCAGUGGCGAAGGCGCUCUGCUGGGCCAUCACUGACGCUCAUGGACGAAAGCCAGGGGAGCGAAAGGGAUUAGAUACCCCUGUAGUCCUGGCCGUAAACGAUGAACACUAGGUGUCGGGGGAAUCGACCCCCUCGGUGUCGUAGCCAACGCGUUAAGUGUUCCGCCUGGGGAGUACGCACGCAAGUGUGAAACUCAAAGGAAUUGACGGGGGCCCGCACAAGCGGUGGAGUAUGUGGUUUAAUUCGAUGCAACGCGAAGAACCUUACCAGGGUUUGACAUCCUGCGAAUUUCUGGGAAACCGGAAAGUGCCUUCGGGAGCGCAGUGACAGGUGGUGCAUGGCUGUCGUCAGCUCGUGUCGUGAGAUGUUGGGUUAAGUCCCGCAACGAGCGCAACCCACGUCUUUAGUUGCCAGCAUUCAGUUGGGCACUCUAGAGAGACCGCCGGUGAUAAACCGGAGGAAGGUGUGGAUGACGUCAAGUCAUCAUGCCCCUUACAUCCUGGGCUACACACGUACUACAAUGCUACGGACAAAGGGCAGCAAGUUCGCGAGGACAAGCAAAUCCCAUAAACCGUGGCUCAGUUCAGAUCGUAGGCUGCAACUCGCCUACGUGAAGGAGGAAUCGCUAGUAAUCGCAGGUCAGCAUACUGCGGUGAAUACGUUCCCGGGCCUUGUACACACCGCCCGUCACACCAUGGAAGUUGGCCACGCCCGAAGCCGUUACUCCAACCCUUGUGGAGGAGGACGUCGAAGGUGGGGCUGAUGACUGGGGUGAAGUCGUAACAAGGUAACCA
This 1447-nucleotide ribosomal RNA is filed under the name uncultured marine microorganism. RNAcentral's name for it is "bacterial SSU rRNA". It matches the Rfam family "Bacterial small subunit ribosomal RNA". The record is from RNAcentral.